CUCCAUUCUAGAGUGAUGGCUCUACUACUGCACUCUCCAGAGCAUUUUAUAAGGCACAAUCAUUUUAAGAGUAUUUUUAAAAGAUUUUUCCCCCAAUCUUCUGGUCAGUAAACAGUGAGCAUUAUUUGUAAAUAAAUGAAGAUCAGAAAAAGAGGAACUAUUGAGAAGCUGCUUUGCAAGUAUGAGAGGAAGAAUGUGCUGACAGAGGGUGGUAGAAGAUUUUAAAUGCAUACUACAUUUAGAGGCUUAAUAUUCUUGAUAUUUGAGGCUCUCCUUGUGGUAAGAAUAAGCAAACUGAACAAGUUUGCCAGUUCCUGUUAUAGAUAAAGAAGAAGAAAAGAAAUGGAAAAAAAAAAAGAAAAGAAAAGAAAUUGAAUUAAUGGGUGACUCUCCUCCAAGUGGAAAAUCAGCCCUCAUGCUCCUUCCAGAUUUUGAUUUCACCAUAUUCAACAUGGCUUGCAGGGUUACUGGGCCCAUUUACAUCAAGCCAUCAUGAUGGGAGACAACAAGGAAGACCUCUCAUUGAAGACUUACAUGUGCCAUGGCUUGAAUUGGUGCACACACAUUUGCCAACAUUCUACUUGCUUACUUACUCACUCACAUGGCCAAACCUAACUACAAGGGAGGCAGAGAAACGCAGUCCAGGAAUAUUGAAAGAGUGAAACUGACUUGAGGAACAGACAGCCAUUCUUUGAAAUAAGAGAAAGGCUAAAGGUUUUGAGAAAUAAUCAUAUGUUAUCCUAUGAGUCAUAUGAUAACAAUUGUCCUUUACAUGAAUGAUUCAAAUUUGCUACUCAUAGCUCAAAUGAAGCAAAGUGUUGAAUGAUUCUUAGGUUAUACAUUUGUAAUUGUGUCAAUUUUUUGCAUUAGUCAAGGGAAUUGUUUUCUAAGAAAAUUCCAACUCCAUGUCCUUAGCAUAUAUCAAUAUUCAUAUUUAUAUUUAUACAAAGAAUGGAAAAUGUAAACAUGUUAGAGAGUCUCUGAGGAAGACCAUGUUUGACUCUUGAUCACUGAUGAACCUCAAUUUCCUAGAAAUGUAUGUGGCACGGAGUGGACAAUAAAUAAUGCUUCUAUGGUUUAAACAAAUAAGAAUUUUGUAGGUACUUUCUCACACACAAAUGUAUAUAAGGCUGUCAUUAUUUGAGUUGAUUUAUAAUGCUGCUUAAAUACACAAGCUGUGAAGACAUACUUUUUUCCCAAUUGACUUUUUAUCUGUCUGACAAAUGUAUUUUUUAAAAGAUUUUUUAAAUUUAUUUAUUUAUUCAUGAGAGACACAGAAAGGCAGAGACACAAG
Canis lupus familiaris (dog) is the source of this 1294-nucleotide long non-coding RNA. RefSeq lists it as uncharacterized. Lineage: Eukaryota; Metazoa; Chordata; Mammalia; Carnivora; Canidae. The transcript has 5 exons. The record is from RefSeq and is a predicted model, not a curated record.